CACGCCAUCGAACUGUUUGUGUGUCUGAAACUUCUUUGACCUCUGCAUACAACACUUCAUCCAUCUGCAUGCUUUUAGAGUUAAAUUGUGGGAUCUUUCCUCUUAUCAUCUAGGGGUUUGAUUCAGAGAAAUGUCACUUUGAUUGACUAAUCCAGUCUAACUUAAAAUGUUUGCAGGAUAUUCUUGGAAUGUGGUCUUCAUUCACUUUGGAUUUCAUGUGUUCCACAAAAUACUCCCUAACAUUACGUUUUAGCCCAAUCAAAUACUAACAUUUUUGUUUAAAAAUUACAUUUUGUUGACACAAAACACAUUAACAGACAACAAUCAGAUUUUUAUUGGUACUAAAACACAUGCAUGCUUUUGGAAAAUAACAGAUAGCUCUGCAGGAGGAAACUGAACAAAGAUAUGAUCUUAGAGAGGAAGCCAUGCAUGGCCAUCAUUUUCACUCACAUGCCUUUAUAUACAUGGUUUCUAUUCCAGCAUAAGAGAGUGAGAGUAAAAAUGUUAUGAUCUGAUCAUAACAUCUGAUUUAAUCAGACUUACAAAAAAUAUACUAAUGUGCAAAUUGUGGUAAAAUGGAAAAAAUGUAAAACAUUGCAAAAUAAAUUUUAAGCAGAAGAAACAAAUAAGACAUUAGAACAACAAAGUUUGAGUACAACAAGAGGUCUCACUUUGACAAAUUGUAGGUCUGUGUCUGGUUUAUUUUUGGUUGUAACAUGUUUGUACUUCAUGGAGUGAAGUUAUUUGCACUGGGUCAAGUUUAGAGAAACUUUACUGCAAGAGUAGCGAUACUUUAUAACAUUUCUCAAGUAAAUAUGAAAUAUAUGGUGCUGUAACGCAGUGGUCCCCAACCUUUUUAUCACAACGGACCGGUCAAGGCUUGGCAAUUUUACUGCGGCCCCAGGGGACUGGUGGGAAGGAGGUCACAUGACACAAUUUUACAUUUUUUUGUCCCGAUUUUCCCCUAAUGACAAUCUUAGACGGUUCCGAGUUCUAAGAUUGUCGCUUGUGAUAAUCGUACGAUUAUCCUGUCAGUGUGGAACGUCGGACCGAUCCCGUCUAACAUCGGGCAUAUUCAACAUGUUUGAUUGUCUUGGCCCUUUUAUCGCAGCGUGCGGGGUUUUCCCUGACGCAACCUGUUGAAUGUGACUGGGAGUCAAUCAGAAAGCGCGGUGACGUAAGCACGGUGGGGAAUCCCAAACAGCUGACGUGGCGCAACCGAGAGUCCGGUUUAGUGCGUAAGUGCAGCACAUAGAGCUGCUGCUCCUGCAGUCUUUCAUCCAACGUUUUUCUUUUUGUUACGUCUUUUAUCGCUUAAAACGAGUCUACAAACUAUCACUACUGCUUCUACAUUGUCGGACAUGUUUGUUGCUCUAAAUUCACGUAUGGUAUGUUGGGGAGUGAAAUCGGUUCUUGUGUGGUGUGUUGCUCCUGCCGUGUGGCUGGACACACGAACCGAUCGAACCUGUUGGACUUUUAUCGGCUCUGUGGUCACAGAGGUUUGGAAAAUCAGCCGACAAUCCUUAAAUCGUGCCGUGUGAACCAGACCUAAAGAGCCUCUGUUCUCGUCUCGACCACUGCCCUAACUCUCUCUGGUCUCUAUGGUAACGUUUACAUAUCCCUUCAAAAUAAGAUACAGAUGUGCCACUAAAACGAACAUUUUACUUUCAUGAAAGUUUUAA
Long non-coding RNA from Xiphophorus hellerii (green swordtail), 1682 nucleotides. RefSeq lists it as uncharacterized. The record is from RefSeq and is a predicted model, not a curated record. NCBI's taxonomy places the organism in Eukaryota, Metazoa, Chordata, Actinopteri, Cyprinodontiformes, Poeciliidae. The transcript has 2 exons.